Molecule: ribosomal RNA, 492 nt
Filed under: uncultured bacterium
Lineage: Bacteria
Description: partial 16S ribosomal RNA
Rfam family: Bacterial small subunit ribosomal RNA
Source: RNAcentral
AGUGAACGCUGGCGGUAGGCCUAACACAUGCCAGUCGAACGGCAGCACAGUAAGAGCUUGCUCUUACGGGUGGCGAGUGGCGGACGGGUGAGGAAUACAUCGGAAUCUACUUUUUCGUGGGGGAUAACGUAGGGAAACUUACGCUAAUACCGCAUACGACCUACGGGUGAAAGCAGGGGAUCUUCGGACCUUGCGCGAUUGAAUGAGCCGAUGUCGGAUUAGCUAGUUGGCGGGGUAAAGGCCCACCAAGGCGACGAUCCGUAGCUGGUCUGAGAGGAUGAUCAGCCACACUGGAACUGAGACACGGUCCAGACUCCUACGGGAGGCAGCAGUGGGGAAUAUUGGACAAUGGGCGCAAGCCUGAUCCAGCCAUACCGCGUGGGUGAAGAAGGCCUUCGGGUUGUAAAGCCCUGUUGUUGGGAAAGAAAAGCAGCAGGUUAAUACCCCGCUGUUCUGACGGUACCCAAAGAAUAAGCACCGGCUAACUUCGUG